CAGCAUUUAUGUGCAUGUGGAGGUGUAAAGAGUGUUCACUGGCCGCUUCAAAUAAAUGCAGAAUUUAAGUGCAUCACAGUCCACCUGCAGUCCAGGUUUCUCUCACAGCUCGACAUUCAUGCUGCCAGACUUUUAAAACUGUUCAAGAAGAGAGGAGGGCAGUUGGGCAAAAAGUUGCAAAGCAUUGUAGAACCAACAAAAGAGGGUGAUGUUGAUUUGGUAAGAGAGUGCAUAAUCAAGGGGCUUUGUGUGUACCUCAAUGAGGACCCAG
Long non-coding RNA from Polypterus senegalus (gray bichir), 271 nucleotides. RefSeq lists it as uncharacterized. The transcript has 3 exons. NCBI's taxonomy places the organism in Eukaryota, Metazoa, Chordata, Cladistia, Polypteriformes, Polypteridae. The record is from RefSeq and is a predicted model, not a curated record.